RNAcentral lists this long non-coding RNA (766 nucleotides) under Bos indicus x Bos taurus (hybrid cattle). Its description in RNAcentral is "lncRNA (ENSBIXG00000014699.1)". Lineage: Eukaryota; Metazoa; Chordata; Mammalia; Artiodactyla; Bovidae. The record is from RNAcentral.
GUGCUGGCUCCUAAUCUCACCAAGCACAGAGGUCUGUUACCCGGUCCAUCAUAGGGUCAUGCAUUCCUCACCCUUCCCCGUCCUCUCCCCAGGUGCCAUGCAUCCCAGAGACAGCAGGGCUUGAGUGGGCUACCUGGGCAACCCUCCCCUGCAUGGCCCGGCCUCCCACCUCCUCCACGGGGGUGUGUGUGUGUGUGUGUGUGUGUGUCUUAAAUCAUGGCCUGGCGGCUAAUUCUUUGCAGCUUGCGGGUUGCUGCCUCCAUGAGCAGACAGGAGGGCGCCCUGACACAGUUAAAGAUCACAAGCUUUGAUAACUGGGCCUUCUGAUUUACGGUAAUCCAGGUCUCCACGUUCCCCUAAUGAGGGGAACUCGGAGUGUCAACCCGUUUAUUAAAUGCUCAGAACCAUGUGUGAGCCGGACUGAGGGUCCCUGGACACUGGGUUCCAGCUGCUUACUCGGAGAAGACUUUGUAUGGAGUCUGGCAAAUCUUUCCAGCUGAGCAGGGAGGAAAAUAUUUCAGCACAGACAUUUGUGACCCUUCAUGAAGCUCCAGAGUUGGAAGCCAGACCGGGACCUAUAGUCCUUGCUCCCACACAUCAGGCCCAGGGCCCGGGUUGGCAGCCCCUGCUGACUUUUUCCUGCUGUUUGGAAAAACACCCCUCCGGUCACCACCUUCCAACUCACAUUGCCCACAACGUGGAUGCCAGGAGGGAACAGGAAGUGGCUUGAGAAAAUAAACCCAGCUCACUGGGCCUGUGGAUGGCA